This is a long non-coding RNA of Melospiza georgiana, 5690 nucleotides long. RefSeq lists it as uncharacterized. Lineage: Eukaryota; Metazoa; Chordata; Aves; Passeriformes; Passerellidae. The record is from RefSeq and is a predicted model, not a curated record. The transcript is spliced from 3 exons.
CCGGGUCGCUGGCAGGGGCCGGCCCCUUCGCGGCCGGUGGGCGCCGAGGACGGGCUGCGGUGCCCUGCCGCCUUCGGGACCGGGCGAUUCCUCCGGGCUUCCACCUCCUUCUUCCCCACUGGGGUGCUCGCUCUCCUUUCGCCCCCUUUUUGUCCUUCUCGCCCUUUACUCUCGCUGCUCCAUGGGGCCGAAGGAGGGGGCGAGGAGGUCCCCGUGGAGCCGGUGCGAGCAGAGGGCGGGCGGGCGGCUGCCGGAGCUGGCGCUUCUCCGCGUCCGUCCGGGCUCGGUGCUCCUCGGGGGCGCUGCCGCUGCUGCCGUUCGGCGCUCCCGGGGCGCGGGGAGAAGCUCUCAGGGCCGUCGGGGAUACUCCGCUCUCUCCGGCUUCGAGCGCUGUCAGUGCCGGGACGCCGGGCUGGCUCCUCGCUGCGAGGCGGGCAGCAGACGGGUUAUUAGGGUUAUUAGUGUUAUUGUCAUUAUCUCUCCCUUCCCCUGUGGUUGUGUGUCUCUCCACCACUUUCAGACCAGCCCAUUAUAACGCCGGCGAGAGGCGGAGCCAGGACAAAGAUCUGAAAGGGUGGUGGGUGGAGAAGCAAGGUAGCCAAGGUCCCUCCCCUUCCCGGGUAUUUCGAACGAAGCCGCAGUUCGGCGCGACUAAGCAGAGCCGGCCCGCCUCCCAGGUGUAAAAUGCAGAAUGACUUAUAGGUGGCAGAGCUGAACCUGUUACGUGCAGUGAUUUAUUUUAAUAGCGCCGUAUAAAGCAACAAGUUGUAAUAUGACAGCUCAACAACCUGUUGGAAAAUAAUACAUGGCUUUGCAGUUGUGAAUUCCUAAUGAUUUAUGUAGCCUGACAAAACAGUUUCAGUCCUGGUCUUCUCUUUCCUUCUGUCAUAAGCACACCUGGUGCAGAGGUAGAGUGGGAACAGGUAGGCAAUGCUUUGGAGUUUUGCUAUGAGAGAGUUAGACAAAGCCUUAACCUCAGUUUUAUGUAUCUCUUUCUGUAGUAGCAUUGCUUAAGCUGUUCUGGAUGGUGUGUUUGUAACCUCUCUCUUACAACUGACACUCUCUAGUAAAAUCUUUUAUUGUGUAGGUUUUGGGUUCGGGUGUUUUUAAUGGUAUCUUUAACAUUUUUAAAUCACCGCGAGUCUGUAAAUUUCCCAUAAUACUUGGGACUAUGUAUUCUGCAAUUUUACCUAGACACUCUCCUUCUUUAAAAAAAUUAGUCAUACUUUUUGGGUUUCUUUUUGGGUUUAAGUUGUCAGGGUUUUGGGGUCUUGCCCUCCUUCAGAGUUUUUUUUUUCCCUCUCCUUCAACAUUAUGCUAGGUAGAAGAAGUCAAUGAAGAGAGCUAGCUGGCAGCAGCUUCUCUGAAAACUCUCUGUUCUGCUCACUGUUCAGAGUCCAUUGCAAAAUUCCAUUUCACUUCAUAUGGCAGUAGUGCUGGCGUCUGCAAAACAAUAACAAUAACAUCAGCAGAAAUCCAGUGUGGUGCUUAUGUUUUAUUUCUCAUAUGUAUGCUUUGAAUUUUGUGUCCUGGAGUAAGAGUUGGAUUGCUCCAUAUUUUCCAAAAGCAGUCUUUCUAAAUCAGACCUUAUUUUAGAAUAAAUACAUAAUGCAGAGUCACUCUGGUUAGAACAAUUCCACUGUGGUCUGGCUCUCAAGGAGUAUUGGAGAGGAAGAUGAAAAAAACGCAGGUUUAAAAGACUAAGAGGAGAAACAAACAGCCCUACUUUCUAUCUUGAUCUCUCUUGAACAGAAUAUAUGUUCCCCCACACACACCUGCAUUUUAUUUCAAAGCUUCGCCAUUUCUUCUGUCUGCAUGAGUUUACGUGGUAAAUACUGAAGAGUGAGGGGUUCUUAUGUCCCCCUUUUGAAAACUUUAAUGGAAAUAAUAAUACCCUGGAUGUCUUGCUGUUCUCACAAAAGCUGUACCAGUUGAGAAAAGCAGGCAAUUCAGAAAGACAAAAAUAAGAGGAGGGAGACCUCUCUUGGUUCAUUGUUGUUGUUGUCUCCAUGUGAUGUAAACUGAAAUCCUUCAGUAAAGUGUUGUCUUAGCUGUUGGUGCCAAUGUUUGUGUUUAAGGGUAUGGGAAAAAGGUAUCAUUCCUUCCAAAACUCAUAUUUUCUAUGAUGAUGCCAAUGGCAAGGGUAGGUUUGUUCCUCUUCCUGCUUUUGUUGUAAAUAGCAGUGAAGUAGCGAUGAUUUGCUAGCUUGCCUUUGAUGUUUAUUUUAUUACCGUUCCACUAUUUGUGUGGAAAAUGUACACAUUGUCUCUUAUCUUUAUUCAAAGAACUUAAAAAGUCAUUCAAAUGCUGUAGGUAAACACGUCAGACAUAACAGAAGCUUUUUCACAGCCAUACUUCAAGACUAGGAGUGGAUGGCAAAGCUGGUUUUUCAAGAUUCAAGAGGGGACAGAAGCUUGUACUCAAAAUAAUACAAAGAUAGCUAUUAAUGGGUGGGAGCAGGGAACCUUUCUGAGAUCAGCGCUGAUUCUUGUUGUGGCUCAAGGCCCCUUUGCUAUCUCUGAGCCAGUGCCUGUUGUAAACUCUCCCUUGAAAUCUCUGGUGGCUCUGACCUAAGAAAAUAUAUGAAAAGUGCUUAUGAAAGGUCUGUGCCGGGUUUAAACAGAGCCUUCCUGGCCUGAAUGAGAGCAAUAUCAAGCCCAUUGCUAACGCUGCCAAUGAAACACAAGCAAAGUUGUAAGAAGUGGUGAAAUAUUCCAACUACUCCCAUCUCUCACCACUGAGAGUAUAUGUAACCUCAAGUCUUUUCCUGCUAUAGUUUUUAAAAAGGCACAGUAUCGCCUUCAGGUUUAUAAAGAUUAACACAAUCAUCGGAAAAACUGAUUCUGUUAAGUAAACUUCACAUCAAAAGCACUUUGAUGUGCUGUAUUAUAGCAAAGCCAAACACCCCACCCCCAUCACCCCAAGAAAAAUCUCCAAAAACCUCCAGUGAAGCAAGGUAAAAAAAAAUCUAAUUCUUUGUUCUAAAAUGAAAUGUCUCUUCCUCUUUAGAUCAGCAGAGUAGGACUUUUUUGAUGUACAAUCCCCUCUUUUCCUACCCAAAACAGUAUCCAGUCAAAGACAAACGGAGAAACGUGAAUGGUUGCUUGAAAAUCACGCGAUCAGCUUUGCUUCCCAUUUUUUGUAGUAUUUCACUCAUUUAAUUCAGAAAUAGUCUGCCAAUGGGUACUUGGAAAUGAGGUUGUAUAGUCCUUUGCAAUUUGCUCAAGCUACCAAUUACAAAAAUAUUCUGUACUAAAUGUAGAAAAAUGCUUUGCUGUCUGGUGGUUGUGAGUUUAUUUUUGGUUGAUCCAUGUUGUCUCCAUGGUAUUUUAAACCAUGGAGAUAUGUGUUUUUUAGUUCAGCAAACAUUGUUCAAAGGUGUGUCACGAUAUGUUCUUGGUUCAAAUUCUUUUUAAAAAUUAUUUCUUCUAGUUUUUUUUCUUUUUUUUUCACUCAGUUCUUUCUUACUUCUCUUUUCUGCCUUCAGUCUCUCCAGAUCUCUAACUAUAGAAUAGAGAGGAGGGUUUCCAAGUAAGGUCAUAUAAGAACAACUGGCCAGUAAAAGUCUCUGUGGUGUCUGGAAAGUCCUAUAGUUAGUGGCAGGCAAGCUUAUUUGUGCACCUGACAUGUCCAGCACAGCAGCUGGACAAAGUGCUCCAUCAUCCCUUCUCCUCCUGUGGCAAGCUGCAGGAGUGCCCUGCCUUGCCAGGAGCGAGCAGCCUGGACAAUGCAAUACACGACGUGAGAAACAAUGGAGCAGUUCAAAGAGCUCGCUCUGGACAGGCUGCUCGCAGCAGGAGAUGUGCCUAGCAUGCAUAAAUGAACUGCAGGCUGUGAGGGCUGGCUAAUUGCACUAUGUAUAUUUUUGUAGUUGAAGGAAAUCCAGCUAGAGAUCAGCCGUAAGAGAGGAGGUUACUGGAAAUUCCUUUAGAUCUUGAGAGGAAGAGUUUGAUCACUGAAGCAGAAUGCAUGUCUGCGUGAAUUCCCUCAUUGGGAAAGACCGGCACUUUUUCAGAAGAACAUCCAUUCCCUGUGGGCAGAGAUUUUCUCGUGUCUUUGGCAGGUACUAAGAGCUGAAUUUACAAUGGGGAGUUCCAUUUCAAUUUUGUUUCAUGCAGUCUUUAUUUUCUUGGGAGACAUUACUCAGAAUGAAAUUUUCCCAUGCUGAGAGCUUAGUAUCACUUCCUCCCUGUGCCCACUGCAUGUUCCAUAAAAAAUGUCUGCAUCUAAGCAAAUUUUUUUUUUCUCCAGAGCCAUGGAUUGUGACAGAAUGGGCAGGCACAGAUGUUCUCCUGUGAAGGAAGUGACAUUAUUGUUCGUGUUAUUAAUGCUUAGUACUGGAGAAAAAAAUCCAGAUUCUUACACCAUCCUUUUCACCAACAAAUCUCAGAGCUCUCCCAUUUUACAGGUGACAAGGAAUGAUGGCGAGUCCUGCUGAAAAUAAUUUGCCCUCCUGGACAGCUCCAGAACCAUUGGAAUCUUUGAAAAUCUGGUCCAUGCUGCUGCUGGCUUACUCCUGGAACAGAGAGCGGAGUUAUACCGAGGGCGCGUCCACUGCAGUACCUCAGGUGGCGAGGGAUGGGGAUUUAUAUCCUGCAAACUGGUUCUAAAAAUCGAGCAUGUUUUCACCGCCUUUCAGAGAAAUGUAACAAAUACUUGGAGAGCUGGUCCUUCUGUUGCUGCAGAUGUAAUAAAAUCAUUACUUUGUUGAGUUGCAUGCACUGUGUAUUUGAUUUCCAGUUCCUAGGUGAGUUCUUAAGGGAUUAGCUGAGUUUCAGUCUCUUUAAGGUGUGAAUAAACAUCCUGUUGCCUCACACCCAUGAAAUUUCUUCCCAACAGUUGUCAGAGUGCUUUGUGCAGAGUGUUGCUAUUUUGGUUCUCUAAGUAAAGGUUCACAGGGUUUGAAUGUCAUGGCCAAACUUACAUGAUCUAAGAUGGGAAUGGAACAUGGGUUUCCUAAUUCCUCCACUACUUCUCUACCUACUAACCCUGUUGUUUCCCUGAACCUUUACAUAUACUUUAGUAGAUUAAUAAUUAACCUCCAAGUGGGGCACUUUGAAGCAAAUGUAAAAUGAAACCAAACACUUGUCAUGGUUUUUAGUCAUACCAGAUUUGCAAGUAGGGUGUGUUUAAAUGAUGCAAGUAGAUAAAGUCUUGUUAAUUUAGAUUAGAGUAAAAGUCAGUGCCUUAUCAAAGCAAGUGACUAAUUAGGAAAACUAUUACCUUUUGGAAAAGAAACAGUUGAACUAUCACUCAAAAUUAUUUUAACUAAUUGAACUGUGCAACUGCUCAGGCUCCUGCAACUGCUGAGAAAGAGGAAAGACAGAGAGCUUUUCCCAGGAAUUGCCAGUGUUCUGGGGACUUUUUGAUAAUUUUGCUUUUAGAAAGUUAACAAUACUUGUCAUCACUGCGUAAACAAAGAGAAGGGAGGAGAGUCCCACGAGUCAUCAAGGAGCCAAAUAUACAGAAUUUAAGUGAAGAACUGGAGCAUUUGUACUAAAUACACUGCCUUCAUUCUCUUCACCUUACUGAGCCAACAGGACAGCAAAGUGCUUGUGAAUGGUUUGAAAUGAUGAAGUGAAUCUCAGGUCUGUAAUAACAGACAUUGGGCAUUUGGGAACCUGCAAGGGUGGAAACAGCAGGGCAAAUUCAUGGUGUGAAAAGAAAGAUUACGAUCAGACUGUAUUUAU